GUUUAGUUGCUGGGUAUAGACCCGAAACCAGGCGAUCUAUCCAUGAGCAGGUUGAAGGUUGGGUAACACUAACUGGAGGACCGCACCCACUGUCGUUCAAAAGCCAGGGGAUGACUUGUGGAUAGGGGUGAAAGGCCAAUCAAGCCUGGUGNUUUAGGUAGCGCCUCGGACGAAUACCAUAGGGGGUAGAGCACUGUUUCGGCUAGGGGGUCAUCCCGACUUACCAAACCGAUGCAAACUCCGAAUACCUAUGAGUACUAUCCGGGAGACAGACUGCGGGUGCUAACGUCCGUAGUCAAGAGGAAAACAAUCCAGACCGCCAGCUAAGGCCCCAAAAUCAUAGUUAAGUGGGAAACGAUGUGGGAAGGCAUAGACAGCUAG
RNAcentral lists this ribosomal RNA (381 nucleotides) under Acinetobacter baumannii. Its description in RNAcentral is "bacterial LSU rRNA". It matches the Rfam family "Bacterial large subunit ribosomal RNA", at positions 694 to 1096 of the family's 2925-position model. The record is from RNAcentral. Lineage: Bacteria; Pseudomonadati; Pseudomonadota; Gammaproteobacteria; Moraxellales; Moraxellaceae.